UCUCAGUUGUGUGGUCGCAUGUAUGACUCGCAUUCACGAGGUCGUAGGUUCGAAUCCAAUCGGAUGAA
This is a non-coding RNA of Dryococelus australis, 68 nucleotides long. The record is from the annotation of a GenBank genome assembly. NCBI's taxonomy places the organism in Eukaryota, Metazoa, Arthropoda, Insecta, Phasmatodea, Phasmatidae.